GUCCAAUGCGAGCUGUUGCGUUUCCAUUAGUGUCCGGAGUUGUACUUUACACUGGCGACGAGAGGGAUUUUUAUUUUCUACCCCGCGGUCUUCAAAAUUGGAAAUAUUCGUAGAAGGAACUUGGAGAACCACACCGGUAUAAAUUCGACAAAAACCUAUACGAUCUGGAUGGAAAUAAUAAGACUAGGAUUCAUCCGUUUCGAACGAGAAAGGCAAGUUAGAUGAAUGGGCCAGCGGAACAUGAAUCGAAAAAGAAGAGAAGGAUGAAAUUGAAAACAGGGAACGGGAAAGUAUUUUCCAGCCAAUUCCAUCAUUUUUACGAAAAAAAGUGAAUAAAUGAAAAUAUUUUAUUUGAUUCAAU
This is a long non-coding RNA of Uranotaenia lowii, 361 nucleotides long. RefSeq lists it as uncharacterized. The transcript has 3 exons. The record is from RefSeq and is a predicted model, not a curated record. Lineage: Eukaryota; Metazoa; Arthropoda; Insecta; Diptera; Culicidae.